MicroRNA precursor from Populus trichocarpa (black cottonwood), 149 nucleotides. It matches the Rfam family "MIR480 microRNA precursor family". The record is from Rfam. Lineage: Eukaryota; Viridiplantae; Streptophyta; Magnoliopsida; Malpighiales; Salicaceae.
AUAUUUAUUAGGGGCAAAUUCUUAUUUAGUUAUGGCAGAUCCACACCUGACUGCUCAAAAUCAAUCGUUAUCACAAGAUCGACUACAUCAUUCACAUUAAAAAACAAAGAACAACUGCUGUUUGGAUAAUAUGUUUUUGAGAUUUUAAU